RNAcentral lists this transfer RNA (72 nucleotides) under Nadsonia fulvescens var. elongata DSM 6958. It matches the Rfam family "tRNA". Rfam says of the family: Transfer RNA (tRNA) molecules are approximately 80 nucleotides in length. Their secondary structure includes four short double-helical elements and three loops (D, anti-codon, and T loops). Lineage: Eukaryota; Fungi; Ascomycota; Dipodascomycetes; Dipodascales. The record is from Rfam by way of RNAcentral.
ACUCCAUUGGCCAAAUGGUAAGGCAUCUGCCUCCUAAGCAGGAGACUGCGGGUUCGAGUCCCGUGUGGAGUG